AGAGUUUGAUCCUGGCUCAGAACGAACGCUGGCGGCGUGCUUAACACAUGCAAGUCGAACGAGAAAGUUCUCUUCGGAGAGCGAGUAGAGUGGCGCACGGGUGAGUAACGCGUAGGUAAUCUACCCUUAUAUCUGGGAUAACAUUGGGAAACUGGUGCUAAUACCGGAUACACUUUACUGCUGCGGGGCAGUAGAGGAAAGGUGGCCUCUUCAUGAAAGCUACCGUAUAGGGAUGAGCCUGCGUACCAUUAGCUAGUAGGUGGGGUAACGGCCCACCUAGGCGACGAUGGUUAGCGGGUCUGAGAGGAUGAUCCGCCACACUGGAACUGGAACACGGACCAGACUCCUACGGGAGGCAGCAGUGAGGAAUAUUGCGCAAUGGGGGAAACCCUGACGCAGCGACGCCGCGCGAGUGAGGAAGGCCUUCGGGUCGUAAAGCUCUGUCAGAAGGGAAGAAGUGCUAUAUAGCUAACACCUAUGUAGUUUGACGGUACCUUCAGAGGAAGCACCGGCUAACUCCGUGCCAGCAGCCGCGGUAAUACGGAGGGUGCAAGCGUUGUUCGGAAUUACUGGGCGUAAAGGGCGCGUAGGCGGCUUUAUAAGUCAGAUGUGAAAGCCCACGGCUUAACCGUGGAAGUGCAUUUGAAACUGUGAAGCUUGAGUAUCGGAGGGGAGUGUGGAAUUCCCGGUGUAGAGGUGAAAUUCGUAGAUAUCGGGAGGAACACCGGUGGCGAAGGCGACACUCUGGACGAAUACUGACGCUGAGGCGCGAAAGCGUGGGGAGCAAACAGGAUUAGAUACCCUGGUAGUCCACGCCGUAAACGAUGUGAACUAGAGGUGGGAGGUGUUGAUCCCUUCUGUCUCGCAGCUAACGCAUUAAGUUCACCGCCUGGGGAGUACGGUCGCAAGAUUAAACUCAAAGGAAUUGACGGGGGCCCGCACAGCGGUGGAG
RNAcentral lists this ribosomal RNA (952 nucleotides) under uncultured delta proteobacterium. RNAcentral describes it as "bacterial SSU rRNA". It matches the Rfam family "Bacterial small subunit ribosomal RNA", at positions 8 to 937 of the family's 1533-position model. The record is from RNAcentral. Lineage: Bacteria; Deltaproteobacteria.